Molecule: ribosomal RNA, 377 nt
Filed under: uncultured Methylobacterium sp.
Lineage: Bacteria; Pseudomonadati; Pseudomonadota; Alphaproteobacteria; Hyphomicrobiales; Methylobacteriaceae
Description: bacterial SSU rRNA
Rfam family: Bacterial small subunit ribosomal RNA
Source: RNAcentral
AAGAGAACAUCUUACCAUCUUCAUCUUGGGUUGUUUUCCCGAGAGAUUUUUCGUUCAUUCGGUGGGGUGCACCCCGGUGGGCAUGGGUGUUGUCAAGUUGUGGUGUUGGGAUGUGGGUUAAGUUCCGCAAGAAGGCAACCCAUGUCCUUUAGUGCCAUCAUUCAGUUGGGCGAUUUUGGGAGACCGGUGAUUAGCGGAGGAAGGUGGGAUGACGUCAAGUCCUCAUGGCCCUUACGGUGGGCUACACACGUGCUACAAUGGCUACAGUGGGAGGCGAAGGAGCGAGGGGAGCAAAUCUCCAAAAGCGUCUCAGUUCGGAUUGCACUCUGCAACUCGAGUGCAUGAAGGCGGAAUCGCUAGUAAUCGAAUCAGCAUGC